CGUAGGGUGCGAGCGUUAAUCGGAAUUACUGGGCGUAAAGCGUGCGCAGGCGGUUUUGUAAGACAGGCGUGAAAUCCCCGGGCUCAACCUGGGAACUGCGCUUGUGACUGCAAGGCUAGAGUACGGCAGAGGGGGUGGAAGUUCCACGUGUAGCAGUGAAAUAGCGUAGAGAUGUGGAGGAACACCAAUGGCGAAGGCGAGCCCCCUCGGGUCGGAUACUGACGCUCAUGCACGAAAGACGUGGGUAGCAAACAGGAUUAGAUACCCUGGUAGUCCACGCCCUAAACGAUGUCAACUAGGUGUUGGGUGGGUAAAACCAUUUAGUACCGGAGCUAACGCGUGAAGUUGACCGCCUGGGGAGUACGGCCGCAAGGUUA
This 377-nucleotide ribosomal RNA is filed under the name uncultured organism. RNAcentral describes it as "bacterial SSU rRNA". It matches the Rfam family "Bacterial small subunit ribosomal RNA", at positions 526 to 896 of the family's 1533-position model. The record is from RNAcentral.